This is a long non-coding RNA of Ictalurus punctatus (channel catfish), 1461 nucleotides long. The record is from Ensembl. Lineage: Eukaryota; Metazoa; Chordata; Actinopteri; Siluriformes; Ictaluridae.
GACAAGUGUUUUACAGGACUGCUUUAACUGUACACCACACACACAUUUGCAGUCUGCAGAAGGAGCUGAAACUGAGAGCGCUUCAUGCUCUGCUGCUCCGUGAGGAUAUCUUUGGCCAUGUAGCCGUCGCUUGCGUCUUUCCUGUAAGUUAAUAUAUUUGUGUUUAUUAUUGUGGAGAUUUUAUUUACUCCGCUGGAUUGAAAGUGUGAAUUAUUCAGCCUGAUCCUGAGAGAAUCAGAGAGAGAGAGAGCGAGAGAGAGAGAGAGAGAGAGAGAGAGAGAGAGAGAGAGAGAGAGAGAGAUUAUGAUAGAAAAUAGACCCGAGAUUUGAUGUGACAGAAAAAAUAAAAUGGACAAAAGUUUAUUAUUGAGGAUUUUACUGGGAAAGAUUCUGUUCUAUAAUGUAAAAAAGAGGCGCAGAGCUGCGUGGCGGGACAGAAGGUUCUGGAUGAUUCAGAUGUUUGUGUGUAUGGUGUUGGGCAGGUUUAGACAAAGUCCAGGUAUUACCGUGUGUGUGGUGUGUGUGUGUGUGUGUGUGUGUGUGACAUGGUGGUCAUGUCGAGUGAAUUCACAAAUUUAGUUUUAGUUUCUGAAAAGCAGUUGGUGUUAGUUUAUAUUUCUCUGAUCUGAAGGACAGGAUUUAUCAAAUACACCACAGAUAAACGGUUCUUUUUAACGUUUAAAGGAUAAACUUAGCCAAGAACAUAAAAUAAAGUUUAACAUUAAGAAAAGAACAUAAGGGUUAACACAACACAUUUUGCAUUUACAUUUAGAUUUAAAUACAAACAGGAAGUGUUUUAUUGUAGAUAAUAAACUCAUAAUGAUCAUGUUUUAUUAAGUAUCUAUUCAUUAAUUAAAGGAGAUGUUUGUGUAAGCUGACAGGAUGGUUAUGUUCCCAUGGUUACAGAUCUCUGGAGGAGGAAGAGGAGUUAAAACAUAUCUGCCAAGGGAUGUGUCACUCAGUCCUUCUGCCCCGGUGUCAGAUGUCAUGUGGGGGGGCCACGCCCAUGGAAGUCCCCCUGCAGUCUGCACUCGGGGUCCAGCGGGCCUGCAGUGGACAGCGCCGGGUCUACACCGACCUGCCUAUUGAGCCCCAGAUUCCAAAAGCAACCACAAAAACCACAAAAACCUUUUUCGCUUUUGGCGUCUGUUGCUUGGUUGGCAGGCUCUGUGGUUGGCUUGCCGUUGAAAAAACCACCUUUUAUUAAAGCUCUUCAAUGCUGUACGCCAUUUCCAACUUAACACCAAAAAAAAAUCAAUAAAAACAGUAAAAUCAUGGAACGUAAAAUGUCUCUGGUGUUGUUUUUUUGUUUUAAAAAAUGUUAAUCAUUUAACCUGCAGGUGUGUAACGUUUAUUACACUUUAGUGUGAUAAUGAGGGAACUAAAAUAUAUUUCUUCUACUUUUAAUAAUCAGAAGCUACUAUACUUUAGAGAUAUUACAGGUUACUGUAUUGCCAAGAG